CAGAGACUGCGAGCGUUAUUCGGAUUCACUGGGCGUAAAGGGUGCGCAGGUGGCCGUGUGUGUGAGGCGUGAAAGCCCGGGGCUUAACCCCGGAAUUGCACCUCAAACUACAUGGCUAGAGCAUUGGAGAGGGUAGCGGAAUUCACGGUGUAGCAGUGAAAUGCGUAGAUAUCGUGAAGAACACCAGAGGCGAAGGCGGUUACCUGGACAAUUGCUGACACUCAGGCACGAGAGCGUGGGGAGCAAAAGGGAUUAGAUACCCCUGUAGUCCACGCCCUAAACGGUGCACACUAGGUCUUGGCGGAUUCGACCCCACCAGGGCCCAAGCUAACGCGUUAAGUGUGCCGCCUGAGGACUACGGCCGCAAGGCUA
This 372-nucleotide ribosomal RNA is filed under the name uncultured organism. Its description in RNAcentral is "bacterial SSU rRNA". It matches the Rfam family "Bacterial small subunit ribosomal RNA", at positions 526 to 896 of the family's 1533-position model. The record is from RNAcentral.